AUGGAUUCCACUGAAAAAGCAUCACUGUGGUCAGAAAAGCCAAGCCCCGUUUCCUGUUGUUGUUACUGUAGCUAACAAGAUGGCUAACACAUUGGUAAAAACAUUCACAACAACACAACUGUGUAACCAAAGUGGAAUUUGAUUCAUAUUUUCAUAAGCAGCCUCCUUCUUGUCAUGACAUGAGACUUGUCACUUGUCCAAGCAAGUGCUGAAACUGGAAAUACCUACAGAAUGCGUCCAGGCAGGCCGGGACAAUCUGUCUCUGCAGUACGUACGAGGGGACCAGAGGAUGAAGCACUCGGUCAUCCGCCGAGGUUGACGACUGAAUCACUGUUUCCUUCUCUUUUUUUCCUUUCCUUUCCCACGUCAAUGAUUUACCUUAAUUGAAGAGCUCAGCUUCGUACACGGUGUUUGCGUUCUCUUUAUGUCUUGGCUAUAAGCAUUUCAUACAUUUUUGUCUUCGUAAGCCAACGUGCUUUUCUGUUAGUAUUUGGGCUGUUCCCUGACUAAGUAUUCUUUG
Long non-coding RNA from Gasterosteus aculeatus aculeatus (three-spined stickleback), 520 nucleotides. Lineage: Eukaryota; Metazoa; Chordata; Actinopteri; Perciformes; Gasterosteidae. The record is from Ensembl.